ACCAACUGGCAUCAAAAGCAUAGCUGGUUAACAGGGAGCCUUUCAUCAAGCCGCCUGUAUUGCUGGCCUUGCCUGCUUUUUGGAAAGUCUGAGCCUUGGUCGAAAGGUGGGUACGGUGACCUGAAGAACAUAUAUCCUUCUGCUAAACGGCAAGACAAAAGCAGGGAGCAUAUAAAUGCCCACAUCAGAUUCAAGCUUCUGGGAAAAAGCUGCAUCGAUUAUGACGAAUGUCUGCGUAUUCAAACUGCGCAACACAACGAGAAAGUAAGAAGAAACAGGGAUGUUCUCAAGCGGUUUAUCAACACAACUGCGUUCUUGGGCAUGCACGGAUUUGCUUUUAGAGGACGAGAGGGAAGUUCCGCCAACAAGGGCAACUACAAGGAGCUUUCAGAGGAGGUGAUGACUAUAUCACCCCACUACCAUUGUCAACUUUCUCCUGACAUGAACUGAAGCCACGUCUCAUGUGCCCGCUCAUCCACUGGCACAUUGAAUGUUUCCCCUCCAAGCACUCCAAAUCCUGUCCUGCACUGGUCAAGCCUCUGAACACCUCAACUCAUACCUCAUACCCUCAUUCAAUCACUGCUGUGAUCCCUUUCCAAC
Molecule: long non-coding RNA, 600 nt
Organism: Coregonus clupeaformis (lake whitefish)
Lineage: Eukaryota; Metazoa; Chordata; Actinopteri; Salmoniformes; Salmonidae
Exons: 3
Source: RefSeq, a predicted model, not a curated record